AUGGUGUCGGCCACCAAACUAGAAGGUGGAUAUUGUUUUCACAGCAAGAACUCUCCUCUCGAUCAACCUGAAGGUGUGAAGAUACAUCUUUACCGUCUUGGAAUAGAACAGUGUGAACAUGAUACCCUCAAAAGCUUUGCAUGUGCUGGUGAAGGCAGCCCAAGUUUACUUGAUACAAUCAUUCUUUCUCAGUGGGAGAACUUUGCUCAGAAGGGCCAGUUGGGAUAUGAUGUUACUACUUGCGAACUUAAGGUCAUUGAAGGUCAAAGGGAUUUUGUUAUUCAGAUGAAUGAUAAAUGGAAUUCAUUUUCCCUCAUGAAAUAUGACAAGUUCGGCCAUCCUUUCGGAUGCUUGAAGCCAAAUUCUGCUAGAAGCUACGAGGAAUUACUUUUGUGCAUCGCAGAAGGAGAAAAUAAUGAACCGGAGGUUGUUCCUUCGAUUACACCCCCAAACAAUGGAGUACUGCUGAUUGCGAAUGCAUAUCCUGUUGAAUAUGGUCACAUUUUCUUGGUCCCAAAUGCAACUAAUCAGCUAUCUUCCUUUUGGGAUAAAAGGAUGUUUGGGCUGAUUACAAAGAUUGCCUCUGAAGUAAACAGUGCAGCGUUCCGGGUUUUCUUUGAUGAUGGUACAUCUAUUGUGCCAAAGCACAUGUUUUUUCAGGCCUGUUACUUUGCCAAUCCUUUACCAGUGGAGUCUUCCUCAACUGUUGCAUUAUAUGAUGGGGCAACCAGAUCAGGCAUUUGUGUGUCUGAAAUAGUUGAUUACCCUCUAAAAGCACUUGUGUUCACGAGCACCAAUGUAAAUACACUUGUCGAUGUAGUGAGUGAAGCAUGCUUGGCUUUGCAUGAGAACAAUACUGUGCACAGCCUAAUGAUGUCCAACAACGGCAGAAAUGUUUUCUUAUUCCCCCAGGUGAAAAAUCUGGUCACUGGCUGCUGUCUUUCUGCUUGGGAGUGCUGUGGCUACUUUGUUUAUCACACCAAAGUUGAUUUCGACCGAGCUUCUGAGACCGGAAUUUCCAAUAGGAUGGCUUCGUUCUCGUUCCAAGAUGGUGACUUUGAAGACCUGAAGAAACUCUGCUGCGCUAUAGCUGAUAGCCUUGUUACCUAA
RNAcentral lists this ribosomal RNA (1110 nucleotides) under Triticum aestivum (bread wheat). RNAcentral describes it as "partial small subunit ribosomal RNA". Lineage: Eukaryota; Viridiplantae; Streptophyta; Magnoliopsida; Poales; Poaceae. The record is from RNAcentral.